UAGCUAGAUAUAUCCCUCACUCCCCAU
This 27-nucleotide non-coding RNA is filed under the name Mus musculus (house mouse). Lineage: Eukaryota; Metazoa; Chordata; Mammalia; Rodentia; Muridae. The record is from RNAcentral.